GCCUUCGUUGUGUAGUGGUCAGCACGCUCGACGCGUAACCGAGAGGUCCGUGGUUCGAUUCCCGGCGAAGGCG
Molecule: transfer RNA, 73 nt
Filed under: Stegodyphus mimosarum
Lineage: Eukaryota; Metazoa; Arthropoda; Arachnida; Araneae; Eresidae
Rfam family: tRNA
About the family: Transfer RNA (tRNA) molecules are approximately 80 nucleotides in length.
Source: Rfam by way of RNAcentral